CGGAUUGCAGGCUGCAACUCGCCUGCAUGAAGUCGGAAUUGCUAGUAAUCGCGGAUCAGCAUGCCGCGGUGAAUACGUUCCCGGGCCUUGUACACACCGCCCGUCACACCAUGGGAGCCGGUAAUACCCGAAGUCAGUAGUCCAACCUCGUGAGGACGCUGCCGAAGGUAGGAUUGGCGACUGGGGUGAAGUCGUAACAAGGUAGC
RNAcentral lists this ribosomal RNA (206 nucleotides) under uncultured bacterium. Its description in RNAcentral is "partial 16S ribosomal RNA". It matches the Rfam family "Bacterial small subunit ribosomal RNA", at positions 1294 to 1500 of the family's 1533-position model. The record is from RNAcentral.